GGACCACCCCAUCCGCCUCUGGCCCAGGACCAUGCUGAGGACCACGGCUCGCAUCCUGCAGGUGUGGGGCGUGGAGAGCAAGUCCGGGACCCUGAUGGCCAGUUACGUGCCCACCAAGAGAGAUGGCCACACUGAGAACCACAGGGGCUGAAGAAACAUCUGCUUCAGUUCCUGACUGGAGAGAGGCGAGCUGUUAUCUCGUGGGCAAGGGCUUCCUUUCUCUGUUGGAGAGGAGUUUACGAGGAGAGAGGGGCGGAGGUCUCAAGGAAAUCAUGUGUGACACACAAACCCGAAAUGACGGCUCCCCAAGCAGUUCAGAGGGACCUGGGAGAAGCCUGGGUCCCUGUGUCCUCAGAAGCCGCAGUCCCUCCCCAGCCAACCCAAUGUAUAGGCAGAAGCUGGACCUGGCCGGAUCCAAAGUGCACCAUGGAUCUUCAACGAUGAUUUCCAAUAUCCUCAAUAUCUUCUCUGAAGGCCUUUUCUCCUUUUUUUUUUUCCCCUCCCUGGGUGAUCUUGCAAGUUGAUCAUUUAGAACCCAGGUGCAACCUUUCUCCUGAGCUUCCACCUCCAACCAUUUGUUUCUCUACCACCUGUCUAGCCGGCAGCCCAAGCCAUCUGCAGUGGCAGAUGGAAGAGCUGUUCCCAAAUGUUCACUUCCUCUGAGUCAUAAAAUUAUGGUUCCCCAUCACUGCCUUGUGUCCUGGCCCCAACAUCUCCAUGAGAGAAGCAUGGACCCUGCCUUGUUGACUUUCAACUUGGCUGCAUGACCAGCUCUGCUUAAUGAGACGAGACUGGACGUGACCUUGGCCGUCUGAGCAGUCCUGACUCACUGACCCUCUCAAGGCCUUUGUUCCCUUCCUCUUCCUGAAAUGUGCUUCCUCCAGAUGUUUGCACGGCCUGCUUCUCCAACUCCUUUGGGUCUUUACUGGACCGUCACCUCAAAAAUGCCACGCUGCUGUUCUUCAAGCCAAGCCUCCACCCCUCCCACCACCUGGCUCCCAUCAUCCUCUGCUCGUCUUCGUGCUGCUGGGAUGAGCAAUUCUCCUGAUUGCCUGCUGCUGAGGUCCACUACUUUUAAAGGAGUCACCUCACGGUUUGUUUCCAGUUCUCCAAACAUAGCACAGUGUUUCCUGUUUUGUUUUCUUCCACAAGAGGCUGCCUAUGUCAUUGCUUCUGUCCACUUGGUUGGAAGGUCCUGGAAUCAGCUUCCUCCUGAAAGUAGACCCUGUACAUCCAAGAUUAGACCCUGCCCCGUGGUGAGCUUUCUGUAGGCAGGAGCUAUCAUCUAGCUCUCUCUGCCUCCAUCACCAAAUCAAGCACCUGGUUCAGUGCUGAAGCCCCAAGAUAUCUGUGCAAUAGAAUCUUUCAAGAAAGGGAGAUUUAUAACAUGGCCAAGCCAAUGUCUCAGAAAAGUCAAUUCAACCCCGAGCAAACCAAGAUAUAUCUAUGGUAGGAUGGCACACGGAAUUCCCAUCUAGCUUGAGGCAGCAGCUCCUGGGUUUUUGUGCUUUGCAUUCAGGAAUAAGGCACUGGAGUAGAGGGUGGCUCAGGGAGCAGAGGGAGCUGGAAGAGAAGUGCCAAAAGCAACGACACAAAUGACAUCGAGAGAUGCAAGUUCACAAAGAGAUAAGCCAGGAGAGAAGGGAUGGAGGGAGGCAGUGGCUGGAGAUGGGUGGCAGGGUGAGGUCCAGGCUGUGCUGUGCUGCACCCCCGGCUCGGCGCCCACCCCAGGGAGGCAUUGGUGCUUCUAAGCUUGGUGUAUGGUCCAAGGAGAUGGAUGAUGCUGAUUGUUUUUGGCCUACCUCUUCUCUUAGCAGGGCAUACACCCACCUGACAAUUACUUAGUCCGAGUUCAAAUUCUUCAUCUCAGACUAAAGAAUAUGACAGCAUCCUCUUACCCUUAACUAGUACAACUAUCAAGAGUCUUCUGGGGCCUCCUUGGGGUAAACUUGGAAACUGCUCAGGCAGGUGGCCACCAAUCCUUGGGAGUAUAGUUUUUAUUGACAACACAUUCUUUUCUUGGUGACAAAUCUUGCUUCUAAGAAGUUGUCCUUCAGAAGCUGUAAUUUUCAGAACAUGAGGUGGUAACUCAGUAUAAGAAGCCUGUGGGUUCUACAAAAGAAAGUGGGGAACGGGACCUAUCUUGAUGGACAGGGAGCAGAGCUGGUGGACUUGUCACUAUCAAUCCAGGUGAUGCUGGAAUUAAACCAACUCCUGUGCAGUCUGAGCCAACAGCCCCCAUAUUUAUUUGUAGAGCAGUUUGGUGAUAAGAAUUGAAGAAGUACUUAUGAUAUUUGAGUUUUCCCAAUAAGACUGGCCAUCCUCAUUUUGUAGGUGAGGAAAGAGACUUGGAGGAAGUGGGGAUCUGAGGUUGACACCAACCAUCCUCUGGCUCUCCCUCCUGUGCUGUUCCUACUGCUGUCAGAACACCUGCAUCUUGAAUCACAUGUUUCUCUCACUAGUUCUUUAAGCACCACCAAGGAGUUAAACAUUCUAAAACAUUUGCCAAAUCCUUGUCAGAGCAGGAGCUGGAAGCUGGUGCUUGCCUGGACAAUGGCAGAGUCUGCAAAUCCACUUUUCAAUACCUGUGGCUCCUGCGGGCUCCAGAUGGCAGAGGACUCUGAUUAGCUCCAUGAACACUAUCCCUGAGGAAACCAUGGGAGGCUGAAAGGGAUGCAGUGCUCGUGCAUCAACAUGGACUCGAAUGAAGCCUCUGCUGCUGCUUCCCAGUGUGGACACGUUCCCUGGCUGUUUGAAAUAUCCUCUUGGGCUUGUUAGUGGCUUUGAGCAGGACCAUGGGAGUUGGUCAGGGCAGGCCCAGGGUGGAGGGGAGUGGGGGCAACAGGGUGACCAUUUGGGAGUUCUGCCCAGGGGGGCACUUAUUUGUAGGACACUUCCAGACAGUUGAAUGGAUAUAAAGACUAAAAAAAAAACCCAACAAUUACCUUGCAUGGAUCAGAGAAGAAGAGUGCCCAAGAAGCACGUAUGUGUCAGUAGAUGUGAGUGGGGCCUCCCUGCUUGGGGACUGCCGGAGAGGUGGGGACAGCUGUUUGAAAUCACGGAAACAUUCUCUUCUGCCUUCCCUCCCAGUCUGUGGACCUCUCUCACCCGUCGGCGGAUGUGCAGAUGAGAAUCUGGGUACCUGGAUUCUGGUCUGCUGCCUCCUGCUGCACGCGUAGGAAGGUGCUGGGAACCCCAGUAUGUGGCAAUAACUGUUUCUGAGUCAACGCUAGACGAAUUGAUUGUGUAGUCUGGGUUCUUCUGAUUGUGAGAUCCCAGUGUCACUUCAGACAUGUGCCUGGAAAAAUUUCCCACGCUGCCUUCCCUGUGCACAGCAAACAUCACCAAUGUGUCUUGGUGCCUUGUCGCAGAUCUCUUCCCAACACAACGCUCCCUGCAGCUGCAUCCGAUGCAGGGAGUUGGCUCAUGAGGAUGAGCCUGUGGGCCUGCAGGCUACAGCGUCAUGUGGAUUUGGAACCAACCAGUGUGCUGGGUCAAAUGUGCUAGCUGACAACCAUACCUCAGGGGGCUUUGCUGAGAUGCAACCUCCAGACUAAGCCGUAGGCACUGUGGAAAUCUCCUUCCUCCCGGUGGGGCCAACAGAAGGUUGGUUCCGAGGUUCCAGUCUUAUCAAACCCCCUGUGACUGGUUUCCUCCCGAAUUCUCUCCUCAUCCGGGUCAGAUGUCUGCGGUGCCCGUGGCCUUCUCUUCCUUAACACAGUGGGCUCUGCUCAGCCAGCA
Long non-coding RNA from Macaca mulatta (Rhesus monkey), 3741 nucleotides. The record is from Ensembl. NCBI's taxonomy places the organism in Eukaryota, Metazoa, Chordata, Mammalia, Primates, Cercopithecidae.